RNAcentral lists this ribosomal RNA (272 nucleotides) under uncultured Eubacteriales bacterium. RNAcentral describes it as "uncultured Clostridiales bacterium partial 16S ribosomal RNA". It matches the Rfam family "Bacterial small subunit ribosomal RNA", at positions 69 to 339 of the family's 1533-position model. Lineage: Bacteria; Bacillati; Bacillota; Clostridia; Eubacteriales. The record is from RNAcentral.
AGGGAGAGGUGCUUGCACCUCGAACUUAGCGGCGGACGGGUGAGGAACGCGUGGGUAACCUGCCCUAUACAGGGGGAUAACACAGAGAAAUCUGUGCUAAAACCGCAUAAGCCUACAGUACCGCAUGGUACAGCAGGGAAAACUCAGGUGGUAUAGGAUGGGCCCGCGUCUGAUUAGCUAGUUGGAGAGGUAACGGCUCACCGAGGCGACGAUCGGUAGCCGGACUGAGAGGUUGAACGGCCACAUUGGGACUGAGACACGGCCCAGACUCC